CUUUCUUCCUUCUCUGUGCGACUUUCUUCUCCGUUCGAAGAAAGCCUAGCAAAAAAAUUCACUUUACCAGCCGGCAGCCACUGAGUCUGACUGAUUUAGAUCUACACCCUCACUCCGUUCGUCGCCGACGCCGUUGCUCGCCGCAUCUGUGAGACUCCAUCGCCAUCGCCAUCGCCUUAACAAGUCCCAAGUCCCAAGUCCCAAAUCGAAGCUACUCUCUGCCUCUCCGGCCUCCGCCAGUCCGCCGCGCUCUACGUCUCCUGUCGGCUGUGUCCUGCCGUGCUAGUUCAUCGCUGCCGAGUGUCGAAGACGAAGCACCAAGAUCUCACUAGUUCAUCGCUGGUUCAUCACUGCUCAUCUCUGGCUCACUUAGUAUCCCGCCGCCCUCGAACUGUACUCGGACGAGACAAUUUUGAACGUAGAUUGAAUGGCGUAUUCUUUUCUGACUCGGGCAACCAAGAAAUUUAGUAGUAAAACUCAUGGAAAUGCUAGCUAGGAAGUUCAUGGCCAACCAGUUGUCAAGAACCAUGGCAUUGCAAUCGAAUCAAGAACCAACACACCCACGAACCCCCGGCCGUCGCCAACAAAAACAAAAACAGAAAAAAAAGGGGAAUAAUGGAAUAGGUAGCGGGACGGCAAUGAAUCAGUUGUGCAGCCUUUAAAAGUUAAGGCCUUGGGGAAAAAGUUAAUGUCUCCCCUUCCCAUUGUAAACAAAAAGGGAAAGUGAGUUGGUUUGUUUUAUAUAUUCCUCUUGUUUUCUUCAGUAGAAUGAUGCCAUUCCCUUAUACCACUAGUUUGUGUGUUAAUUUAUUGCUUAUAUCAGUACUAGUUCCAUGUUAACAUAUUAGGAUUUAAGAUUCUGUUUCGUUUUCACUGGUCUGUCUUGUAAUACUUCAUCUGAUCACAAGACUAUAUAUGGUGACACGAUACAGAGUUUGAUAUUGAAUUCUUCAAAAUUUGUUGGAAAGU
This is a non-coding RNA of Coffea arabica (coffee), 969 nucleotides long. The record is from RefSeq and is a predicted model, not a curated record. NCBI's taxonomy places the organism in Eukaryota, Viridiplantae, Streptophyta, Magnoliopsida, Gentianales, Rubiaceae.